RNAcentral lists this long non-coding RNA (903 nucleotides) under Bemisia tabaci. RNAcentral describes it as "lncRNA ENSSSA3NGG013164". Lineage: Eukaryota; Metazoa; Arthropoda; Insecta; Hemiptera; Aleyrodidae. The record is from RNAcentral.
UCUGCUUGAACUUCGGGUGCGCAAUAAAUAAAUAAAUAAAUAACUCAUUACAGGAUACACAAAACUAUAAAACGGGAUGGCACAAAUAAUACGGCCGCUGAAAAUGCGCUAAAAGCAUCAAUGCCGGUCGUCAACCGCCGCGCCGCGCGCCGCGCCGCUCUGACUGUAGUCACUCUAAAGAACUCCAGGUUGCCUACCCACCACCUGUAGGCGAAAGCCUCAUGCAUGACUAGUCAGAGAAGGCGAAGGACGUCUCUAUUGUUUUCCAUUUCUCGGAAAAAGAGGCACACUGCACUUUCUCUUCCGCCGUUGGCGGCAUAACUCUUUUGUUUCGCGACCAUUUUCAACUUCAAUUUUCAUUCCGUCCUUCCACCGUGCGUGCGGGUACUCCUGGCUCUUUCCCUUUCACAGGACUGACAAUUCUCCUGAAGACCCGAAGGCUGUCACCAAUUGAGAAAACAAGCUUUAAAUCGUCAACGAAGAAAUUUAAACAAACAUGGACGACUGGGACUUUAGCGGUGACACUAACAAUGGAAAUGACUCCUCCUCCGGAGGAGGAUAUGGCGGAGGCGGCAAAGGUCGCGGGUUCUCGAGAUACGAGGACGACGACGAUUCCGGAGGUGGCUUCCGCGGAGGACGCGGCGGUCGCGGCGGAGGCCGCGGUCGCGGAGGCGGCCGGGGAGGCCGAGGAGGUCGCGGUAAGUCUCAAAAUUAUUUCCCAUCUAUCCUUACUCUGAGAACCAAGAUUAAUCAUUCCGAUGUAUGGAAUUGAAAUCACCAUAAGCAAGACGUAAGAAGGUGAGGGGAACAGAGUGUCUUCAAGUCCGGAAAGUGCGGAAACAGCACUGAUCUUUUAAGGGCGGUCCGGAAGCACUGAAAAAGUGUGGAAAUUCUACACAAGGU